GCCCUUCUUCCCCACGCCGCCACCUCCCAUCCACCCCAGCAAACAGAUGCCGCCUAAGAUCUUUCGCCCAGCCAGGCUUGAGAGCUAAUGCUGCUAAUUCCUUCCUUGGAUGUCUGAGCCAUAUGAAUAUCCUCAUACUUUGUUGUCUUCUGCUCGAUGUUUCAUCAUGUAAUGUGGGGAGCACUGUUUGAAUGUUCGGCUGCUGUUGUAGCAUCUGAGUUAACAACGCUCCUGAGAUGUAGUUCAGGUGGCUUUUAAAGCACAAAUCCGUCCAGAUGGAUCUUGGGUUACGCUCGCCCCCAAAUUGCAGUUUAAACUCUGUUUUGUUGUUGUUGAUGAGUCAAUUGAUCCUUCUUUGGUGCAGUGAUUAUAAAACAUUCCUCGUACUGACGGGAAAUCCCUGUGAACGACAUCUAUACACCCAUAGAAUCUGAGCAUCAAUGGACACUAUUUCUUGUUUCAAUGCGUAUUAUUAUGUUAUUUCUUCUUUGUUUUCACUGAGAGUUGCGUUAUGAUUUUUAUGGAACAAUCUAGUUAGAUGUGAUUGGGCAGCAGUGAUAUCUUUGUGAAUGACUCCCAUAGAAUCUGAGCACCAAUACCGCAUUGCUGUUUAAUUAUUUUUGUUUAAAAUGCAGUUUUUUAAUUUUGACCAGGAGAUGCUUUUCCAUUAGCAAGUCUGCUAGCAGAUUAUUUAGAAACUGAAGCCCUGCUCAGUUCUGUGUACUCACGACCUAGGCAGCACAACUGGAGAAUCAUUCCAAAUACCAGUAUACUGCUCAUUUUCAGUGAGGUCCAUUGCUAUGUUGUCAUGCAUUUGUGUCUGUAAAACCGUCCAUCAAAUGUACUUCCAUUUUGUAAUAGAGAUGAUGUAUUGAGAUUUCUCACUAGUUUAGUGAUCUAUGCUGAUGAAUUUCAA
Molecule: long non-coding RNA, 916 nt
Organism: Triticum aestivum (bread wheat)
Lineage: Eukaryota; Viridiplantae; Streptophyta; Magnoliopsida; Poales; Poaceae
Exons: 2
Source: RefSeq, a predicted model, not a curated record